CCUACGGGUGGCUGCAGUGAGGAAUAUUGGUCAAUGGGCGAGAGCCUGAACCAGCCAAGUCGCGUGAGGGAGUACGGCCCUAUGGGUUGUAAACCUCUUUUGUCGGGGAGCAAAAGCCUGACGUGUCCGGCUGUGAGAGUGCCCGUAGAAAAAGCAUCGGCUAACUCCGUCCCAGCAGCCGCGGUAAUACGGAGGAUGCGAGCGUUAUCCGGAUUUGUUGGGUUUAAAGGGUGCGCAGGCGGAUUUUUAAGUCAGAGGUAAAAUCGUGGGGCUCAACCCCGUCCAGCCGUUGAAACUGGGGAUCUAGAGUGUGCGAGAGGUAUGCGGAAUGCGUGGUGUAGCGGUGAAAUGCAUAGAUAUCACGCAGAACCCCGAUUGCGAAGGCAGCAUACCGGUGCACAACUGACGCUCAGGCACGAAAGCGUGGGUAUCGAACAGGAUUAGAUACCCGAGUAGUC
RNAcentral lists this ribosomal RNA (458 nucleotides) under uncultured bacterium. RNAcentral's name for it is "partial 16S ribosomal RNA". It matches the Rfam family "Bacterial small subunit ribosomal RNA", at positions 338 to 795 of the family's 1533-position model. The record is from RNAcentral.